This 610-nucleotide ribosomal RNA is filed under the name uncultured Bacteroidota bacterium. RNAcentral describes it as "bacterial SSU rRNA". It matches the Rfam family "Bacterial small subunit ribosomal RNA", at positions 367 to 975 of the family's 1533-position model. The record is from RNAcentral. Lineage: Bacteria; Pseudomonadati; Bacteroidota.
GACAAUGGAGGCAACUCUGAUCCAGCCAUGCCGCGUGCAGGAUGACGGCCCUAUGGGUUGUAAACUGCUUUUAUACAGGAAGAAACACCUCUACGUGUAGAGGCUUGACGGUACUGUAAGAAUAAGGAUCGGCUAACUCCGUGCCAGCAGCCGCGGUAAUACGGAGGAAGCGUUAUCCGGAAUCAUUGGGUUUAAAGGGUCCGUAGGUGGAUAAUUAAGUCAGAGGUGAAAUCUUGCAGCUCAACUGUAAAAUUGCCUUUGAAACUGGUUAUCUUGAGUUAUUAUGAAGUAGUUAGAAUAUGUAGUGUAGCGGUGAAAUGCAUAGAUAUUACAUAGAAUACCAAUUGCGAAGGCAGAUUACUAAUAAUCAACUGACACUGAUGGACGAAAGCGUGGGUAGCGAACAGGAUUAGAUACCCUGGUAGUCCACGCCGUAAACGAUGGAUACUAGCUGUUCGACCAAGAUUGGUUGGUUGAGUGGCUAAGCGAAAGUGAUAAGUAUCCCACCUGGGGAGUACGGUCGCAAGACUGAAACUCAAAGGAAUUGACGGGGGCCCGCACAAGCGGUGGAGCAUGUGGUUUAAUUCGAUGAUACGCGAGGAACCUUACC